AUGCUAAACUAUGAUCUGGAACAAAUAGAAGAAUUUGUUGCUUUUAUGGGUGCUUAUGAGAUUGAAUCUAUGUUUAAUGCGUUUGACGAUUUUGAUGAUUCAGUUUAUAGGCCUGAAAAUCUUGCUAUACUUAGAUAUUGCUAUGAAAAUUAUGAACAUGUUAAUGCUUUUAUGAAGAAAGUCUCCGCUGUCCAAGAAGAGACUAAUAUUUUGCAUGCAGCUAUGGAAGAAGAAAUUGAUGAAACUGUGAGCUCAUUGGAUGAAAAAGAUGAUGAGGAGAGCGAAGAACAAAAGGAGGAGAGCGGAUUAGCUACCCGUGCCCACCUCCUAAUGAGAGUAACUCUUCAACUCAUACAUUGUUUAAUUCCCCUUCAUGCUUACCGAAGGAUGAUUGCUAUGAUCCCGUUGAUUCCCUUGAAAUAUCCCUUUUUGAUGAUGCUUCCUAUGCUUGUGGCCAAGAUGCCAAUAUGA
This 471-nucleotide ribosomal RNA is filed under the name Triticum aestivum (bread wheat). RNAcentral's name for it is "partial small subunit ribosomal RNA". Lineage: Eukaryota; Viridiplantae; Streptophyta; Magnoliopsida; Poales; Poaceae. The record is from RNAcentral.